AUCAUAUAUAAUGAGUCUACUAUGGUAGAAGGAUGGCUAUACUGGAAACUACGGGCUGAGCUGAUAACGACUAGAC
Molecule: transfer RNA, 76 nt
Filed under: Pinus squamata
Lineage: Eukaryota; Viridiplantae; Streptophyta; Pinopsida; Pinales; Pinaceae
Description: tRNA-His
Source: RNAcentral